CACGUAGGCACCAAGCGUUGUCCGGAUUUAUUGGGCGUAAAGAGCUCGUAGGCGGCUUGUCGCGUCGGAUGUGAAAGCCCGGGGCUUAACUCCGGGUCUGCAUUCGAUACGGGCAGGCUAGAGUUCGGUAGGGGAGAUCGGAAUUCCUGGUGUAGCGGUGAAAUGCGCAGAUAUCAGGAGGAACACCGGUGGCGAAGGCGGAUCUCUGGGCCGAUACUGACGCUGAGGAGCGAAAGCGUGGGGAGCGAACAGG
This 253-nucleotide ribosomal RNA is filed under the name uncultured bacterium. Its description in RNAcentral is "partial 16S ribosomal RNA". It matches the Rfam family "Bacterial small subunit ribosomal RNA", at positions 524 to 776 of the family's 1533-position model. The record is from RNAcentral.